GGAGGCGGGCCCAGAGGCCAGUCGGGCUGUCCGCGCCGAGACCGGAGCUUCUGUUGUGCUGGCGAAGCUCGGUCUCGUCGUUCUCACCUGUGCGCUUGACCAGCGAGUCAGCUGGAAUUGCGUGACUGUGAUCGGCGCUGCUUUCGCAGUAAAGGGAGCCCGCAGCCGCGGUGAAGGUCACGGUCUCUUCUCCGGCCGUUCCCCGAGGGCCGGCGUGAGGAGGUGGCUGCCUGCGCUGUGGAAGCCUCUCAGUCCCGGUCGCGGGACAGCGGAGCGCAGGCGGUGAAUGUAGCAGAAGUCUGGUGAGAAAUAGCCAGCUGUUGGAAUUAGCAGAUAGAGAAAGCAGUUAUUUGUUCCGUGAAGGAAUGUGAAAGCUGAGGCCAGGAGUAAUGAAAACUAAAUAGAUGCCCCAAAUAUCUACACACAAGUCAGGACAUGUAAAUUGCUUGCUGUGUUGAAUGGUGAAGUCAUCUCAGAUGCGUUGCCUUGUCUGGAGUUCUUGUUAAAGAUGAAACCUUCUUCAGUGCAACAUCAUAUCUAGCAUCCAGAGCACAACAAGUAACACUGAAGAUUUUCUUUCUCAGGACUCUGGGCUGCUGCUCAGCUCCUCCGGAAUGCCGUGUCCCUUUUGGCAGCCUGCCACUUUGGAAUUUAUACCCUCCUUAAAGGGAGGAUGGCAAGAAGAUGGAGCCAGGCUCUUCUCAGUGAUGCCCAGUAAUAGGAAAAGAGGCAAGGCACAGAAAGUGAUGCACAGGAAGUUUCACCUGACCCUGAGGAAGAACUUCACUGUGGGAGUGUGGUGCACUGAACAGAUUGCCUGGAGAGGGUGUGGAAAGUCCCUCACUGGAGAUAUUCCAGAAUGUACUGGACACGAUCCUGUGUCAAGUGCUCUGGGAUGGCUCUGCUUGAGCAGGGAGGUUGGACCAGAUGACCCACCUGUGGUCCCUUCUAACCUGAACCAUUCUGUAAUUCUGUACCAGGAAAGGUGAUCUGUUCCCUUGUUUCCAGGGCUUUUGCAAUGCCUGGGCAUGUGCCUUCACCGGCCAUCACAGCAGAAUCCCAGAACGGCUGGGCU
Pyrgilauda ruficollis (rufous-necked snowfinch) is the source of this 1075-nucleotide long non-coding RNA. RefSeq lists it as uncharacterized. Lineage: Eukaryota; Metazoa; Chordata; Aves; Passeriformes; Passeridae. The record is from RefSeq and is a predicted model, not a curated record. The transcript has 3 exons.